RNAcentral lists this ribosomal RNA (254 nucleotides) under uncultured bacterium. Its description in RNAcentral is "partial 16S ribosomal RNA". It matches the Rfam family "Bacterial small subunit ribosomal RNA", at positions 526 to 779 of the family's 1533-position model. The record is from RNAcentral.
CGUAGGGUGCGAGCGUUAAUCGGAAUUACUGGGCGUAAAGCGUGCGCAGGCGGUUCGACAAGUCUGAUGUGAAAUCCCCGGGCUCAACCUGGGAACUGCGUUGGAAACUGUCGGGCUAGAGUGUAGAAGAGGGGGGUAGAAUUCCACGUGUAGCAGUGAAAUGCGUAGAGAUGUGGAGGAAUACCGAUGGCGAAGGCAGCCCCCUGGGCUAACACUGACGCUCAUGCACGAAAGCGUGGGGAGCAAACAGGAUU